Molecule: ribosomal RNA, 432 nt
Filed under: uncultured bacterium
Lineage: Bacteria
Description: partial 16S ribosomal RNA
Rfam family: Bacterial small subunit ribosomal RNA
Source: RNAcentral
AACGAACGCUGGCGGCAUGCCUAACACAUGCAAGUCGAACGAGACCUUCGGGUCUAGUGGCGCACGGGUGCGUAACGCGUGAGAACCUGCCCUUAGGUUCGGAAUAACUCCCCGAAAGGGGUGCUAAUACCGGAUAAUGUCUUCGGACCAAAGAUUUAUCGCCUUUGGAUGGGCCCGCGUUGGAUUAGCUAGUUGGUAGGGUAAAAGCCUACAAGGCGACGAUCCAUAGCUGGUCUGAGAGGAUGAUCAGCCACACUGGGACUGAGACACGGCCCAGACUCCUACGGGAGGCAGCAGUGGGGAAUAUUGGACAAUGGGCGAAAGCCUGAUCCAGCAAUGCCGCGUGAGUGAUGAAGGCCUUAGGGUUGUAAAGCUCUUUUACCCGGGAUGAUAAUGACAGUACCGGGAGAAUAAGCUCCGGCUAACUCCGUG